GAAAGGCAGCGGCGGCACCGCGUCCGGUCCUCGAGCGUAUGGGGCUUUGUCACCCGCUCUGUAGGCCCGGCCGGCGCUUGCCGAUCAACCCAAAUUUUUAUCCAGGUUGACCUCGGAUCAGGUAGGGAUACCCGCUGAACUUAAGCAUAUCAAUAAGCGGAGGAAAAGAAACCAACAGGGAUUGCCCCAGUAACGGCGAGUGAAGCGGCAAGAGCUCAAAUUUGAAAGCUGGCUCCUUCGGGGUCCGCAUUGUAAUUUGUAGAGGAUGCUUCGGGAGCGGUCCCCAUCUAAGUGCCCUGGAACGGGACGUCAUAGAGGGUGAGAAUCCCGUAUGGGAUGGGGUGUCCGCGCCCGUGUGAAGCUCCUUCGACGAGUCGAGUUGUUUGGGAAUGCAGCUCUAAAUGGGUGGUAAAUUUCAUCUAAAGCUAAAUAUUGGCCGGAGACCGAUAGCGCACAAGUAGAGUGAUCGAAAGAUGAAAAGCACUUUGAAAAGAGAGUUAAAAAGCACGUGAAAUUGUUGAAAGGGAAGCGCUUGCGACCAGACUCGCUCGCGGGGUUCAGCCGGCAUUCGUGCCGGUGUACUUCCCCGCGGGCGGGCCAGCGUCGGUUUGGGCGGUCGGUCAAAGGCCCUCGGAAGGUAACGCCCCUAGGGGCGUCUUAUAUCGAUGGGU
This 671-nucleotide ribosomal RNA is filed under the name Penicillium chrysogenum. RNAcentral describes it as "partial large subunit ribosomal RNA". The stretch from base 108 to 671 matches the Rfam family "Eukaryotic large subunit ribosomal RNA", at positions 1 to 569 of the family's 3401-position model. Lineage: Eukaryota; Fungi; Ascomycota; Eurotiomycetes; Eurotiales; Aspergillaceae. The record is from RNAcentral.